GGUUAAGCGACUAAGCGUACACGGUGGAUGCCCUGGCAGUCAGAGGCGAUGAAGGGCGUGCUAAUCUGCGAUAAGCGCCGGUAAGGUGAUAUGAACCGUUAUAACCGGCGAUACCCGAAUGGGGAAACCCAGUGUGAUUCGUCACACUAUCAUUAACUGAAUCCAUAGGUUAAUGAGGCGAACCGGGGGAACUGAAACAUCUAAGUACCCCGAGGAAAAGAAAUCAACCGAGAUUCCCCCAGUAGCGGCGAGCGAACGGGGAGGAGCCCAGAGCCUGAAUCAGCAUGUGUGUUAGUGGAAGCGUCUGGAAAGGCGCGCGAUACAGGGUGACAGCCCCGUACACAAAAGCGCAUGUGCUGUGAGCUCGAUGAGUAGGGCGGGACACGUGGUAUCCUGUCUGAAUAUGGGGGGACCAUCCUCCAAGGCUAAAUACUCCUGACUGACCGAUAGUGAACCAGUACCGUGAGGGAAAGGCGAAAAGAACCCCGGCGAGGGGAGUGAAAAAGAACCUGAAACCGUGUACGUACAAGCAGUGGGAGCACCCUUUGGGGUGUGACUGCGUACCUUUUGUAUAAUGGGUCAGCGACUUAUAUUCUGUAGCAAGGUUAACCGUAUAGGGGAGCCG
RNAcentral lists this ribosomal RNA (625 nucleotides) under Salmonella enterica. RNAcentral describes it as "partial 23S ribosomal RNA". It matches the Rfam family "Bacterial large subunit ribosomal RNA", at positions 1 to 668 of the family's 2925-position model. RNAcentral also lists the same sequence under 3 other names. Lineage: Bacteria; Pseudomonadati; Pseudomonadota; Gammaproteobacteria; Enterobacterales; Enterobacteriaceae. The record is from RNAcentral.